AAUUGAGAAUUGUAAACAUUUAUGAUAAUUUGUUUGUUCUUUGGUGAUUAAAUAGUCACAAUGCAUAUUUGUAAUCAUGAAAACGAUUAAUGAAAAUAUGCUAGGUAAAUGAAACUGCAUUCUAGUUUUCAAUUCAAACCUGAUCUGAACCUCCAUGUAUAAUGUGCAUUUUCUUAAAAAUUACUAUCAUGAAUUUAUGAUACAGAGAUAGGUCUCAAUGUUAAGGGAUGACCAUUUUACUAUAUUCAAUCUUCACAUAGGACUGUGGACAUGAAAAGAAGGUGGUUGACCACUUUACUAUAUUCAAUAUUCACAUAGGACUGUGGACAUGAAAAGAAGGUGGUUGUACUAUUAAUCUAUUAUAUUCUUUACAAAUAAUGGCAUAAUGAAUGAUAUAGAAUUUAAAUAAUGAAAUAAUUUAAAAAAGAUAUUUGUGUGAUUCUCUUAAUAAUGUUUUAAUAUAUUUAUGUGUGAUGAUCUUAAUAAUGCUGGAUAUAUAUCACAAUGAUAAAAAAUGGCACAUUUAAAGUGAUUAAGUUUAGUUUCUAAUAUAGCUAGUUAUAUGGUAGUUAAAUAUCACAUAAUAUGGUCAGUAGUGGAAGAUUGACAAUAAGUGAAUACUUUCUGAUUUGAGUAUUCUAAUUUGUCAAAAAGGAGAUAAUUCAUACUUUUUUAAAUACAUGAUUACAAUAUAUAAUUUGUUGAAGAAAUGAUCAUUAUUAAAAUACAGUCAUACACCCCUAAA
RNAcentral lists this long non-coding RNA (745 nucleotides) under Mytilus galloprovincialis (Mediterranean mussel). Lineage: Eukaryota; Metazoa; Mollusca; Bivalvia; Mytilida; Mytilidae. The record is from RNAcentral.